UACCAGCUCUUCGAGUGGUGUGGAUGUUUAUUGGGCCUAAAGCAUCCGUAGCUGGCUGGGCAAGUCCCCUGUUAAAUCCACCGAUUUAAUCGUUGGAGUGCGGGGGAUACUGUUCGGCUAGGGGACGGGAGAGGCAGACGGUAUUUUCGGGGUAGGGGUGAAAUCCUAUAAUCCCGGGAAGACCACCAGUGGCGAAGGCUGUCUGCUAGAACGCGCCCGACGGUGAGGGAUGAAAGCUGGGGGAGCGAACCGGAUUAGAUACCCGGGUAGUCCCAGCUGUAAACGAUGCAGGCUAGGUGUUUGGGCGGCCACGUGCCGCUCUAGUGCCGCAGAGAAGCCGUUAAGCCUGCCGCCUGGGGAGUACGGCCGCAAGGCUGAAACUUAAAGGAAUUGGCGGGGAGCACCAAAAAAGGUGAAGCUUGCGGUUU
RNAcentral lists this ribosomal RNA (428 nucleotides) under uncultured archaeon. RNAcentral's name for it is "bacterial SSU rRNA". It matches the Rfam family "Archaeal small subunit ribosomal RNA", at positions 474 to 903 of the family's 1478-position model. The record is from RNAcentral.